UAAAUACUCCCUCUGUUCGAAAUACUUGUCUUAAGGAUGAAUGUAUCUAGACUUAUUUUAGUUAUAAAUACAUCAAUUGUAUCCAUUUUAGGACAAGUAUUUUCGGACGGAGGGAGUAUAAG
RNAcentral lists this microRNA precursor (122 nucleotides) under Hordeum vulgare. Its description in RNAcentral is "microRNA MIR1122". It matches the Rfam family "MIR1120/MIR1122 microRNA precursor family". Lineage: Eukaryota; Viridiplantae; Streptophyta; Magnoliopsida; Poales; Poaceae. The record is from RNAcentral.